Molecule: ribosomal RNA, 647 nt
Filed under: Salmonella enterica
Lineage: Bacteria; Pseudomonadati; Pseudomonadota; Gammaproteobacteria; Enterobacterales; Enterobacteriaceae
Description: partial 23S ribosomal RNA
Rfam family: Bacterial large subunit ribosomal RNA
Source: RNAcentral
GGUUAAGCGACCAAGCGUACACGGUGGAUGCCCUGGCAGUCAGAGGCGAUGAAGGACGUGCUAAUCUGCGAAAAGCGCCGGUAAGGUGAUAUGAACCGUUAUAACCGGCGAUGUCCGAAUGGGGAAACCCAGUGUGACUCGUCACACUAUCAUUAACUGAAUCCAUAGGUUAAUGAGGCGAACCGGGGGAACUGAAACAUCUAAGUACCCCGAGGAAAAGAAAUCAACCGAGAUUCCCCCAGUAGCGGCGAGCGAACGGGGAGGAGCCCAGAGCCUGAAUCAGUAUGUGUGUUAGUGGAAGCGUCUGGAAAGGCGCGCGAUACAGGGUGACAGCCCCGUACACAAAAGCGCAUGUGCUGUGAGCUCGAUGAGUAGGGCGGGACACGUGGUAUCCUGUCUGAAUAUGGGGGGACCAUCCUCCAAGGCUAAAUACUCCUGACUGACCGAUAGUGAACCAGUACCGUGAGGGAAAGGCGAAAAGAACCCCGGCGAGGGGAGUGAAACAGAACCUGAAACCGUGUACGUACAAGCAGUGGGAGCAUGAGUUUACUCAUGUGACUGCGUACCUUUUGUAUAAUGGGUCAGCGACUUAUAUUCUGUAGCAAGGUUAACCGAAUAGGGGAGCCGGAGGGAAACCGAGUCUUAAC